Molecule: transfer RNA, 77 nt
Filed under: Veillonella parvula
Lineage: Bacteria; Bacillati; Bacillota; Negativicutes; Veillonellales; Veillonellaceae
Also listed under: 2 other names
Rfam family: tRNA
About the family: Transfer RNA (tRNA) molecules are approximately 80 nucleotides in length. Their secondary structure includes four short double-helical elements and three loops (D, anti-codon, and T loops). Further hydrogen bonds mediate the characteristic L-shaped molecular structure. tRNAs have two regions of fundamental functional importance: the anti-codon, which is responsible for specific mRNA codon recognition, and the 3' end, to which the tRNAs corresponding amino acid is attached (by aminoacyl-tRNA synthetases). tRNAs cope with the degeneracy of the genetic code in two manners: having more than one tRNA (with a specific anti-codon) for a particular amino acid; and 'wobble' base-pairing, i.e. permitting non-standard base-pairing at the 3rd anti-codon position.
Source: RNAcentral
GCGUCUAUAGCUCAGUAGGAUAGAGCAGCAGUUUCCUAAACUGCAGGUUGUGGGUUCGAUUCCCUCUAGGCGCACCA